UGACCUGGGAUAGCUCAGUUGGUGGAGCAGGACGCUCUUAAUCUCAGGGGCCUGGGUUUGAGUCCCAUGUUGGGCAA
Molecule: non-coding RNA, 77 nt
Organism: Podarcis lilfordi (Lilford's wall lizard)
Lineage: Eukaryota; Metazoa; Chordata; Lepidosauria; Squamata; Lacertidae
Source: the annotation of a GenBank genome assembly